UGAUAGUCCAGAGCAGACCAAAGCCUCCUCU
Molecule: non-coding RNA, 31 nt
Filed under: Rattus norvegicus (Norway rat)
Lineage: Eukaryota; Metazoa; Chordata; Mammalia; Rodentia; Muridae
Source: RNAcentral